GGAUUAGAUACCCUGGUAGUCCUACCCGUAAACGUUGUAUACUAGGUGGUGGCAGUAUUGAUCCUGUCACUGCCGGAGCUAACGCAUUAAGUAUACCGCCUGGGGAGUAUGCCGGCAACGGUGAAACUCAAAGGAAUUGACGGGGGCCCGCACAAGCAGUGGAGCAUGUUGUUUAAUUCGAUGAUACGCGAGGAACCUUACCAGGUCUUGACAUAUACCGGGCUAUGGUGGAGACAUCAUAUUUCUUCGGAACUGGUAUACAGGUGCUGCAUGGUUGUCGUCAGCUCGUGCCG
Molecule: ribosomal RNA, 293 nt
Filed under: uncultured bacterium
Lineage: Bacteria
Description: partial 16S ribosomal RNA
Rfam family: Bacterial small subunit ribosomal RNA
Source: RNAcentral